RNAcentral lists this unclassified non-coding RNA (1622 nucleotides) under Rhagoletis pomonella (apple maggot). Its description in RNAcentral is "tumor suppressor candidate 3, transcript variant X2". The record is from RNAcentral. Lineage: Eukaryota; Metazoa; Arthropoda; Insecta; Diptera; Tephritidae.
CAUUUGACUAGUUUUGGCACGUUUUUGACGUUUAUUAAUUCAUUUUUGUGUUAUCUUCCGUUUGGGUGUAAUUUAACAAAUAUUCUAAAAUUAUUAAAUAUUCUGUGAUUAAUUAAUAAAUUCAAACCUAUUAGGCAUUUAAAAUGAAUUUACUCAUAAGAACGGUGUUGCUGGCGCUGCUGGUGCUAGCAGGAUUUCUGGUGUUCACCGCUGCACAGAGUAAACAAAAGACGGGUCUCUCAUUAUCAGAGAAGGUGCGCAACCUGCAAGAUAUGAAUAUGAAGAAAGCGCUGCUGCGUUUCAAUGGACAGAAAUUUCGUGAAUAUGUGCAGAAUACGCCUCGAAACUACUCUGUUGUGGUCAUGUUGACAGCGUUAGCUCCUUCGAGGCAAUGCCAAAUAUGCCGUCAUGCCCAUGAUGAAUUUACAAUUGUAGCCAAUUCUUAUCGCUACUCACCGACUUACUCAAAUAAAUUAUUCUUUGCGAUGGUUGACUUUGAUGAGGGCUCCGAUGUAUUCCAAACGCUGCGUAUUAAUACAGCGCCUGUUUUUAUGCAUUUCCCUGCCAAGGGUAAACCCAAAGGUCCUGAUACCAUGGAUAUCCAUCGUGUAGGAUUUGCCGCUGAAGUGAUUUCGAAAUUUGUUCAUGAACGCACCGAUAUACAAAUACGUAUUUUCCGACCACCGAACUACUCUGGUACCGUAGCAAUGCUAACGUUAGCUGCUCUAGUCGGCGGCUUCCUCUACAUACGUCGCAACAACUUAGAGUUCCUAUAUAACAAACAAAUUUGGGGCGCUUUGGCGUUAUUCUUUUGCUUCGCCAUGAUUUCAGGGCAAAUGUGGAAUCACAUACGUGGUCCACCAUUGGUUCAUAAGAGCAAAAACGGGGGUGUUGCAUAUAUACACGGGUCAUCUCAAGGACAACUAGUGGUGGAAACUUACAUCAUUAUGUUCUUAAAUGCUAUGAUUGUCCUGGGAAUGGUUCUGCUUAUAGAAUCUGGUUCACAAAACGAUAAUAAAAGAGCGCGCAUAAUGGCCAUAGCUGGUCUAUUGCUGGUUGUUGUGUUCUUUUCCUUCCUGUUAUCGGUGUUUCGAUCAAAGGCGCAAGGUUAUCCUUACAGUUUCCUUUUCAAAUAAACGAUUCGAUGAGCUUCAGCCAUUUUUUAUCUGAAAUCGUUGCAUUCGAAAUCAUUCUUAGUCGAUUUUUUCUGUGAACAUUAAAAAAAAUGCAGAAGGAUUUUAUUGGACAAGCGUUAAUGGUUGUACAUCACGACAUGAACUCGUCUUUGAACCGACGACUAUACCAAAGGAAUGUAAUAUAACUAUCUUUAAAAAUUUUAAUUAAAAUAUGUAUGUAAGUAUCAAAAAUAUUCUAAGUUCAAUAAUGAUUACAAAAUGAAGGGUAUAAGCGCCUUUCGUGUUUUCGGAUAAUUUUUAAAAUUUUCCUUGUACCAUUUGUGCGUGAGCAAUGCAUUCAUCAACUGUAAAGUAAAAAUACAAAAUAAUACAACUUGUUAGGAAAAAUGUACGACGUUUACCUGAUUGGAAAAUACCCAUAUGAAUAUUAAGAGCCAUGUAGUACUAUUUAGCAUCAAUCCCAACACCGCCACAUACAUGACGAUU